AAAGAAAUUAAUGAUUAAACAAACUCCAUCCUAUGCAAUGUAUGGCCUUCUAAGUCUUUUUGCAGAGUUUGAAGAACCUCACUCGAUGGUUGACUAUUGACAUGGAUGCCAAUCCAUUUUGAAAAAGCUAAUGAAGCCAUUUUGUCUGCCGCCCUUUGCCUUGACCGUGAACAUGAGAUGCCCUUAACAACCAGUCCCGGUGCAACAACUUCCAAAUAUCUCGCAAUAUUGCAUUGCUACCAUCACUCCUGAUUUGUCCAUUAAUUAGUCGAACAACCACUAAGCUGUCUAUUUCCAGAGUGAUCCUCCGUGCACCCAUAUUCCAAGCUUGCAUCAGCCCAUCAUAGAUUCCCUAUAAUUCCGCCUCCACAAUAGAGCAUACACCAAUAUAGCGGGUAAAACCAACUUUCCAUUCUUCAUUAUGAUCACGUAUAAUGCCCCCUGCUGCAGCAAGUCCCGAUUGUUGAGUUAAAUAGAUAUUGAUUUAGUUGGUAAAAGAUUAAAAAAUUAAAAAAAAUUAAAAACAACAAUUUUUUGUUACAUGGGUAUUCUAUAUUUCAAUAAUUUUAUUUUUUUAAAAUUAAACAGCUUAAAUUAUUGUAACACUUCAAAAUAUAUAAGGUUAUAUGAAAUAAAUUAUCAAGAACUAGUUUAGUCUUGAUGGUUAUAUUCUCUAGAGAUCUUAAGUUCUAUCCACACCCUUCUCAUUUUUAUUUUUUUUUUAGUAAACUAGGAUAAAAACUACUCUAGAAUAUAUAUUAAAUGGAGUAAAUAAAUAAAUAAGUGUGGAUAAUAGUUUAAUGAUUAAGCAUUCUCUCUCUCUCUCCCCCUUACAUCCUAGGUUUAAGCCACAUCAAAUUGCCCUUUUAAAUUUUGAAAACUCUAACUAUUUAAACCAUUCUUCUAAUUAGACUAGGAUUUUGCUUCCUUUUCCAAUUCUCCUAAGAACUGUACUUCCAUCUUUUCUAUUUCAUCCCUCUUUCUUUUCUUUCUUAUUCUUUUCAUCAAAAUUAUGUUUCAUUGUUGAAAAUUGUUCUUGAUUACUCCAAAUGAAAUAAAUUCUCAAUUAAUCUCAUUCUUCCAACGAUUGUUGAAUUUAUCGUCAAUAAUCUUUGAAUUAUCAUCAAAAGAUCGAUUAGUACUCUUGUUUCAUUUUGUAGAACCCAUAAAAUUUUGUAAUAACAUCGUCUCUAUUAAUCUUCCAGUUCGAUUACUGAUCUUUUACAAAUUUUGUCGAAAAUCUUGUUAAUCUUGGUAAAUCUUGAAAACCAUUAUAUAUUCAUGUGUAAAUCCUAUUUGAAGGACUUGAUCUACGUGCCUCGGACUAGAUCCAUGCAAGAGGGACGUCACUCGAGACUCCGUUGACAGGUGUGUGUUCUUUUACAAGUGAAUUGGGAUAAAAUCGAGCCUAGUAUAGGGCCACACGAGCUUGUGGGCCACCUGUGUGGACUAGACGCCCCCAUACACGGCCAUAUUCUCCCUAAAACCCUAGGAUGUUCGAUUUUCACACGACCUAUGGCCUCUCAUACAGUCGUGUCACCCUUGAAGCUUAAAUUUUGCAUAUCUCAAACGGCCACACUUUGUUACACAACCUUGCCACACGGCUAUGUAUCCCAUCUACAUGGUCGUGUGUCCCCUGUAUCUCAAAUUUUACAAUUUUGACCUAAAAUUUUAGGUUUUAGUCAAUUUAGCUCCUGAAUAAUUUUUAAACUAUGUUUAGUGUUUUAAAUUAUACAAUUAGGUCCCUAAUUAUUUGAAUUAUGUUAGAAUCCAUGAUUGAGUGAAUUAUUAGGUCCUUGAUUAUAUGAAUUAUGUUAGAAUCCAUGAUUGACUGAAUUAAUUCGGUAAUUAUAUAUAUAUUUGCAUGAAUUAUGAAUAGUAUAUAUAACUAUUGUAUCUAUAAUUGGGAUCAUACAUAUAACAUGCUUUGUGUUACUGUUAAUAUAAAUACAUGAAAAGUAUGACUUUUGCUACUACUUUACUAUGUGUUAGUACAUUAAUUGCUAUCAUAUUUGAUAUGUAUUAAAUAUGUCACGUUGAAUUGGGAUGAUACGAUGUGAUCGGAAGAAUUCUAGCAGUUUAUCUGCAUUUAUCUAUUUUGUUGUGAUCUACAGCCAAGGGCAGAUUCCAUUUGUGGGUACUAUUAUGUAUUGAUCUGUCAUAAUUCGAUGUAGCAAAUUAAACUAGUUUUCACACUUAAGGAUCCUGAAUACAAGUAUUUUUAUUGUAUUUUAGUUAAGUUUCUUUAGUUUUACUUACAUUCAAUAAAAUGUGCAAAUUAAGUCUUUUAUUGACCUUAAGAUUCGAAUGAGGCCUGAGGGAGAGCUAACGUACUUUGUAAGUGUGCAGGAGACCAUUAAAAGGUAUUUUAGGUCAAUACUAGAUGCUAUGUCACAACACGAAAGGUCUGAUGUCGUAACAUAGGGAACAGAAUGAAGAAAACUCAAGUCUGCCUUCAAUGUUAGACACAGACUGAGGGUGUCGCGACAUACCCCUAAAGAUGGCUACAAAUGAGCAUACUAGUUGCUAUGUCGCGACACAGGUUUUGGUGUGUCAUAACAUCGACUUUUGGACGGAAAUAAAACAUUGUAAUUUAACCAUUUUUAACUAAAAAUAAAUUUAGCCGA
Molecule: long non-coding RNA, 2627 nt
Filed under: Gossypium barbadense (sea-island cotton)
Lineage: Eukaryota; Viridiplantae; Streptophyta; Magnoliopsida; Malvales; Malvaceae
Description: long non-coding RNA (GBAR_LNC007591)
Source: RNAcentral